GACGAACGCUGGCGGCGUGCUUAACACAUGCAAGUCGAGCGGUAAGGCCCGGUUUUGCUGGGUACACGAGCGGCGAACGGGUGAGUAACACGUGGGUGACCUGCCUUCAGCUCUGGGAUAAGCUUGGGAAACUGGGUCUAAUACCGGAUGUUCACUGUGCGUUGCAUGGUGUGUGGUGGAAAGUCUGUGUUUGUGCAUGGGCGGCUGGGGAUGGGCCCGCGGCCUAUCAGCUUGUUGGUGGGGUGAUGGCCUACCAAGGCGUUACCAAGGCGACGACGGGUAGCCGGCCUGAGAGGGCGACCGGCCACACUGGGACUGAGACACGGCCCAGACUCCUACGGGAGGCAGCAGUGGGGGAAUAUUGCGCAAUGGGCGGAAGCCCGACGCAGCGACGCCGCGUGGGGGAUGACGGCCU
This 415-nucleotide ribosomal RNA is filed under the name uncultured bacterium. Its description in RNAcentral is "bacterial SSU rRNA". It matches the Rfam family "Bacterial small subunit ribosomal RNA", at positions 28 to 417 of the family's 1533-position model. The record is from RNAcentral.